Molecule: ribosomal RNA, 460 nt
Filed under: uncultured bacterium
Lineage: Bacteria
Description: partial 16S ribosomal RNA
Rfam family: Bacterial small subunit ribosomal RNA
Source: RNAcentral
CCUACGGGAGGCAGCAGUGAGGAAUAUUGGUCAAUGGACGAGAGUCUGAACCAGCCAAGUAGCGUGAAGGAUGACUGCCCUAUGGGUUGUAAACUUCUUUUAUAUGGGAAUAAAAUGUUCCACGUGUGGGAUUUUGUAUGUACCAUAUGAAUAAGGAUCGGCUAACUCCGUGCCAGCAGCCGCGGUAAUACGGAGGAUCCGAGCGUUAUCCGGAUUUAUUGGGUUGUAAGGGAGCGUAGGUGGAUUGUUAAGUCAGUUGUGAAAGUUUGCGGCUCAACCGUAAAAUUGCAGUUGAAACUGGCAGUCUUGAGUACAGUAGAGGUGGGCGGAAUUCGUGGUGUAGCGGUGAAAUGCUUAGAUAUCACGAAGAACUCCGAUUGCGAAGGCAGCUCACUGGACUGCAACUGACACUGAGGCUCGAAAGCGUGGGUAGCAAACAGGAUUAGAUACCCCUGUAGUC